AGCGGAAAAGCCACUUCGGUGGUACUCUACCCGGCGAACGGGUGAGUAACACGUGAGUAAUCUGCCCCUGGCUUUGGGAUAGCCACCGGCAAACGGUGAUUAAUACCGGAUACGACAACUUCUUGCAUGAGAUGGUUGUGGAAAGUUUUUCGGCCAGGGAUGUGCUCGCGGCCUAUCAGCUUGAUGGUGAGGUAAUGGCUCACCAUGGCUUCGACGGGUAGCCGGCCUGAGAGGGUGACCGGCCACACUGGGACUGAGACACGGCCCAGACUCCUACGGGAGGCAGCAGUGGGGAAUAUUGGACAAUGGGCGGAAGCCUGAUCCAGCAACGCCGCGUGAGGGAUGACGGCCUUCGGGUUGUAAACCUCUUUCAGCAGGGACGAAGCGCAAGUGACGGUACCUGCAGAAGAAGCACCGGCCAACUACGUGCCAGCAGCCGCGGUAAUACGUAGGGUGCGAGCGUUGUCCGGAAUUAUUGGGCGUAAAGGGCUCGUAGGCGGUUUGUCGCGUCCGGAGUGAAAACCAGGUGCUUAACACCUGGCUUGCUUUCGAUACGGGCAGACUAGAGGUAUUCAGGGGAGAACGGAAUUCCUGGUGUAGCGGUGAAAUGCGCAGAUAUCAGGAGGAACACCGGUGGCGAAUGCGGGUUCUCUGGGAAUGACCUGACGCUGAAGAACGAAAGUGUGGGGGAGCGAACAGGAUUAGAUACCCCUGGUAGUUCCCACCGUAAAC
RNAcentral lists this ribosomal RNA (732 nucleotides) under Nocardioides sp. TWS-61. RNAcentral's name for it is "bacterial SSU rRNA". It matches the Rfam family "Bacterial small subunit ribosomal RNA", at positions 65 to 807 of the family's 1533-position model. Lineage: Bacteria; Bacillati; Actinomycetota; Actinomycetes; Propionibacteriales; Nocardioidaceae. The record is from RNAcentral.